UGGGGAAUUUUGGACAAUGGGCGAAAGCCUGAUCCAGCAAUGCCGCGUGUGUGAAGAAGGCCUUCGGGUUGUAAAGCACUUUUGUCCGGAAAGAAAUGGCUCUGGUUAAUACCUGGGGUCGAUGACGGUACCGGAAGAAUAAGGACCGGCUAACUACGUGCCAGCAGCCGCGGUAAUACGUAGGGUCCAAGCGUUAAUCGGAAUUACUGGGCGUAAAGCGUGCGCAGGCGGUUGUGCAAGACCGAUGUGAAAUCCCCGAGCUUAACUUGGGAAUUGCAUUGGUGACUGCACGGCUAGAGUGUGUCAGAGGGGGGUAGAAUUCCACGUGUAGCAGUGAAAUGCGUAGAGAUGUGGAGGAAUACCGAUGGCGAAGGCAGCCCCCCGGGAUAACACUGACGCUCAUGCACGAAAGCGUGGGGAGCAAACAGG
This 429-nucleotide ribosomal RNA is filed under the name bacterium. RNAcentral describes it as "partial 16S ribosomal RNA". It matches the Rfam family "Bacterial small subunit ribosomal RNA", at positions 355 to 776 of the family's 1533-position model. The record is from RNAcentral. RNAcentral also lists the same sequence under 2 other names.